GAUGAACGCUGGCGGCGUGCCUAAUACAUGCAAGUCGAGCGAACGGACGAGAAGCUUGCUUCUCUGAUGUUAGCGGCGGACGGGUGAGUAACACGUGGAUAACCUACCUAUAAGACUGGGAUAACUUCGGGAAACCGUAGCUAAUACCGGAUAAUAUUUUGAACCGCAUGGUUCAAAAGUGAAAGACGGUCUUGCUGUCACUUAUAGAUGGAUCCGCGCUGCAUUAGCUAGUUGGUAAGGUAACGGCUUACCAAGGCAACGAUGCAUAGCCGACCUGAGAGGGUGAUCGGCCACACUGGACUGAGACACGGUCCAGACUCCUACGGGAGGCAGCAGUAGGGAAUCUUCCGCAAUGGGCGAAAGCCUGACGGAGCAACGCCGCGUGAGUGAUGAAGGUCUUCGGAUCGUAAAACUCUGUUAUUAGGGAAGAACAUAUGUGUAAGUAACUGUGCACAUCUUGACGGUACCUAAUCAGAAAGCCACGGCUAACUACGUG
Molecule: ribosomal RNA, 496 nt
Filed under: uncultured bacterium
Lineage: Bacteria
Description: partial 16S ribosomal RNA
Rfam family: Bacterial small subunit ribosomal RNA
Source: RNAcentral